UCUAUUUGUUCCCCAGGUUCUUCUAUAAAACGAAUAAGUUUGACAUUGCAGGCAGCCCUGGAUUAAGUGUACCCGUGCCAUUUGCUUGCAUGUGACUUUGAGUAGGUAACUUAACCUCUCAGAGACUAGGGGUUUUCUCAUCUGGGAAAAUGGCUAAGAGCUGAUAGGAAAAUUAAAUCACUGAGAUAAUACAUCUGAUACAUCAGACACAGCACUGAGCAUAGAGAUGGAAAUUAUUGGGCAAAUAAUGUGGUGGUCUGGAAUGAGCAAGGGUUGGUCAGCUUUGGGUGUGAAUCUUGCUUCUACCAAUUUUUAGCUGCGACCUUAGGUAAGUUACUUGUCUUUUGUGAGUGCUAAUUUGUAAAGAGAGAUAAUACAUUCCUGUUUUAGGAGAUGUGAAGAGGCAGGAUUAAAUGAGAGGAUCUAACAGGCAUACCAACCUCUCUAGCAGAGAAAGAGCCCCCUGAACACUUAUUCAUCAAGGCAGGGAUAAUGAUUUAUGGCAUAAUGAGCUACUUUUUAAAAUGAGUCCAUAAUGGGAAACUCAAAGUAAAACACAUGGUUCAAGAAAAGCCUGCAUGAUGCUGGUUGGCAAGGGUGUUUGUGGAAAUUUCUUUUUCCUAGUAUUCACUCACUCCAAGGUCUUAGAACAGGGAAUUUGAUCAUCAGGCUGAAAUAGAUCCUUCCUGAGUUUUUCUUCUGGUUCCAUAGGGCAUGGAAAGGAAUCCAGGGAACCAGCUGAUCUUCUGACGUAUUCCUGGUUGGCCAUCGAUCCAUUCCACCAUCCAUCCUUGCAUCUCUCCAUCCAUCUUGUCAUCCAUCUUCCAUCCAACAAGAUGAAACUCCAUGUGUUGGGUCUCAUAAAGUGUGUCCUAUAUAAGAUGAAUCUUGGGAAGAGACGAGGAAAGGAAUUGGAGUAUAUGAUGGGGAGUGGUGAUGAUAAUCCACACCUGAAGUUGUAGGUGGACACAAUACCUUUGUUUAUUUUUAUGUGGUGCUGAGGAUCCAACCCAGGGCCUCACACAUGCUAGGUGGGAGAAGAAGACUAGAGGAUAUGCAGCUGGAGAAAUACCCCUUUCUCAAGGAGGAUAAGGCUCUGGGACAGACUUUCCUCUGGGUGGCUUGUGUUGUAGAGAAGGCUUUUGGUGCAUCUCAUGCUCAUCACACUGCUAGAGCCAUAAGAGGAUUUUUUUUUUUUUAAUCUCUUUGUUGUGAGUACCUGGUAAAAUUUCUGGAGAUAAAACCAGAAAAAUGUGCUCCCCACCCACAGAUGACAGCCUCCAGGAAUUUCUCACUCUUAAGCCAGUUCCCAACCUUCAGCCAUUCAUGCAGAUGGUCAUCCAGUACCUCUACCAGCUCUGUUAGUCUCUGCCAGCUUCUGCUCUGGGGGAUCACCCUGAGAAUUUCCCUUGAAUCCCAGGAAAGACUUUGGACUUGGACUUUUGGGUCAUGCUAAAACCCAAAACUAUGAGUACUCUUGGAAAUGGACUAAGUAUAUUUUGAAUUAGACGAAAAAGCUAACUAAAACAUGGGAUGGAAGAAAAAAUUUUCAACUCAUAUAUCUGAUGGAGAAUUGAUACGCAGAAUAUAAAUAGCUCCUAUAAUUCAUUAACAGCAAAAGGAGAAGAAAAUCCUUCAAAUAAUCUUGUCUUCAACAAAUGGUGCUGGGAAAACUGGAAAUCCAUAGGCAGCAAAAUGAAAAUAAACCCCUAGCUCUCAUCAUGCACAAAACUCAACUCAAAGUGGAUCAAGGACCUAGGAAUUAAUCCAGAGACUCUGUGCCUAAUCGAGGAAAAAGUGGGCUCAAAUCUUCAUCAUGUUGGAUUAGGCCCCGACUUCCUUAACAAGACUCCUAAAGUGCAAGAAAUAAUAUCAAGAAUUAAUAAAUGGGUUGGACCCAAACUAAAAAGAUUCUUCUCAGCAAAAGAAUCAAUGAGGUGAAAAGAGAGCCUACAUUUUGGGAGCAAAUUUUUGCCACAUGCACAUCAGAUAGAGCACUAAUCUUCUUCAGGACAUAUAAAGGAUUCCAAAAACUUUACACCAAAAUAAUAAUAAUAAUAAUAACAACAACAACAACAUCAACCCAGUCAAUAAAUGGGCUAAGGAGCUGAACAGAUAGUUCUUAGAAGAAAAUAUAAACUCGAUCAACAAAUAUAUGAAGAAAUAUUUAACAUCUCUAGUAAUUAGAGAAAUGCAAAUCAAAACUACUCUAAGAUUUCAUCUCACUCCAGUCAGAAUGGCAGUUAUCAAGAAUAUAAACAACAAAAAAUGUUAGUGAGGAUGUGGGAGAAAAGGCACACUCAUACAUUGCUGGUGGGAUUGCAAAUUGGUGUAACCAAUCUGGAAAGUAUGGAGAUUCCUUAGAAAACUUGGAAUGGAACCACCAUUUGACCCAGCUAUCUCACUCCUCGGUCUAUACCCAAAGGACUUAAAAUCAGCAUACUAUACUAAUGCAGCCACAUCAAUGUUCACAAUAGCUAAAAUGUGAAAGCAACCUAGAUGCCCUUCAAUAGAUGAAUGGAUAAAGAAACUAGGGUAACUAGGUUAUAUAAACAUAAUGGAAUAUUACUCAGCAUUAAAAGAGAAUCAAAUUAUGGUAUUUGCAGGUAAAUGGAUAGAGUUGGAAAAUAUCAUGCUAAGCAAAGUAAACCAAUCAAAAAAACAAAAAACAAAACAAAGGAUGAAUGUUUUCUCUGAUAAAAUGGCUGCUGAUUCAUAACAGAGGUGGGGCAUGAGAAAAAUGAAGGAACUUUGAUUGAUUCCAAAAGGGAGGCAAGGAUGGGGAGGGAAUAUGGGGCCAGGAAAGAUGGUGGAAUAAGAUGGACAUCAAUACCCUAGGUACAUGUAUGACUGCCCAUAUGGUGUGAUGCUAUAUCAUGAACAACAAGAGAAAUGAAAAGUUGUGCUGCAAUUGUGUACAAUGAAUCAAAAUGCAAUCUGCUGUCAUAUAUGCCUAAAUACAUAAAUUAAUUUAAAAAAGAAAGAGUUAAAAGACUUGAAUACACAUUCCUCCAUAGAAGAUAUACAAGUGAUCAACAAACACAUGAAAGGAUGCAGAUCACUAAUUCUUAGAAAAUGCAAAUCAGAACUGCAAUAAGAUACUACUUACAUCCCCUAACAUAACUGUUAUUUUUUUUUAAAGCAGAUAAUAAGUGUUGGUGAGGAUGUGGCAAAAUUAGAACCCAUGUGCAUUUCUUGUGGGCAUAUAAAAUGCUGUAGCAUGGAAAA
Molecule: long non-coding RNA, 3228 nt
Organism: Marmota monax (woodchuck)
Lineage: Eukaryota; Metazoa; Chordata; Mammalia; Rodentia; Sciuridae
Exons: 6
Source: RefSeq, a predicted model, not a curated record